This 779-nucleotide unclassified non-coding RNA is filed under the name Hevea brasiliensis (rubber tree). Lineage: Eukaryota; Viridiplantae; Streptophyta; Magnoliopsida; Malpighiales; Euphorbiaceae. The record is from RNAcentral.
ACAUUUGCAGGAUGGUUUGGUCGAUCUCUGUUCCAUGCAAUUGUUGUAUUUAUAAUCAGUAUAAAUGCGUAUGCCUAUGAAAAAAGUGAAAUGGAGGAGGUUGCAAUGAUGGCACUUUCUGGAUGUAUAUGGUUGCAGGCUUUUGUUGUAACAUUAGAGACCAACUCCUAUACAAUAUUACAACACCUAGCAAUAUGGGGGAACUUAAUUGCAUUUUAUGUCAUCAACUGGAUUGUUAGUUCCAUUCCAUCAUCGGGGAUGUAUACGAUAAUGUUCCGGCUAUGCAGACAACCAACUUACUGGAUAACUGUAUUUCUCAUUGUUGCAGCGGGAAUGGGCCCAAUACUAGCCCUGAAGUACUUCCGCUAUACAUAUAGACCGAGUAAAAUCAACACCCUCCAGCAGGCUGAACAUUUGGGCGGACCAAUAUUGUCUCUGGGUAAUAUCGAGCCACAGCCAAGAUCGUUAGAGAAAGAAGUUUCUCCAUUAUCAAUUACUCAACCCAAGAACAGAAGUUCAGUUUACGAACCUCUAUUAUCAGACUCUCCAAAUGCUAGAAGAUCUUUUGGAUCAGGAACGCCAUUUGAUUUCUUUCAAUCGCAAUCCAGAUCGUCUUCUUCGAGCUACUCAAGAAAUUGCAAGGAUAACUGAGCUCCACUUGGUAAAAAAAGAAGUUUAUAGGCAGCAUAGUUGAUGGUAUACAAGUUCUUUGUUAGAGUUGUAAAGCAUACAAUUUUUCCAUCCCACAUGAUUUAUUUACCCUUCAAUGCCCACCUCUA